This 2249-nucleotide long non-coding RNA is filed under the name Homo sapiens (human). RNAcentral's name for it is "HSALNT0042986". The record is from RNAcentral. Lineage: Eukaryota; Metazoa; Chordata; Mammalia; Primates; Hominidae.
GCUGAGGGACAGCCCCGCGGUUGUGGGUGUCCCGCGGCGCCGGAAACUGGGCGCACACACCCUCGGAUUGACGUGCGCACGCGCACCGGUUACCUUCAGGAGCGCCGAAGAAGGAAAGAAGAACACAGAGCCCGAGGCAAAGCUUAAGUGCUUACGCUUUUGUCGGGAGGUACAGACCCAGCUCUGCGAGAGCCAGGGGAAAAGGAAGAGAGGCAGGGAAGGAAUGGCAGCAAGUACAAGGUGAUGAAUGACUGCACUGGCCAUUGCUUCAUGAAGAGCCACGAAAAAACAGAGCCGGUUUCUCAGCAGGUGGCUGGCUGCUCAGUCACAAAGGACCUCUUUGGACAGGCUUUAUGGAAAUACUGUGCCUAGGACAGUCGCUCAAAGGCAGGAGGGAGAGAAAAUGCAUCUGCAAGCUCACUUUGUCUUCUUUCUUCUGCUGGUCAAAAUUUGCUGGCUGGGGCAGUUAACGCCCUCACACAUCCGAGUUGUGUCACCUGGCCCCUUUGGUAGCCACUGGGGAAGCCAGAUCUAGGCAUGUGGCCUGAUGGCUCCUGCGGUGGAACCACAUGCUCACACUCAGUCAGUCACCACUGGGAUGCCCUGGGCAGGGCAGGCUGAGUGGCUGGGAGAUAGCUGAGCCUAAGAUAUCUAAGCAAGCACCUGUGAUGUAUGCACUGCAGUGUCCAAAUGUGAAAAAGCAAGAAAGGGAGAUAGAAGCAUAUUUUUUUCUGGAGAGAAGGAGGAAACCACCAGGAGAAUACAAACAGAAAAAAGAUGGAGUUGAGCUCUGUCGCCCAGGCUGGAGUGCAGUGGCACCAUCUCAGCUGACUGUGACCUCCGCCUCCUGGGUUCAAGUGAUUCUCCUGCAUCAGCCUCCCGAGUAGCUGGGACUACAGGUGCACACCACCAUGCCCGGCUAAUUUUUGUAUUUUUAGUAGAGACGGGGUUUUGCCAUGAUGGCCAGGUUUGGUCUCAAACUCCUAACCUCAAGUGAUCCACCCUCCUCAGCCUCCCAAAGUGCUGGGAUUACAGGCGUGAGCCACUGCGCCCCGCCUACUUGAAUUUUUUUUUUUUUUUUUUUUUUUGAGACAGAGUUUUGCUCCUGUUGCCCAGGCUGGAGUGCAACGGCAUGAUCUCGACUCACUGCAACCUCUGCCUCCUGGGUUCAAGUGAUUCUCCUGCCUCAGCCUCCCAAAUAGCUGGGAUUACAGGUGCCCACCACUGUGCCUGGCUGAUUGUAUUUUUAGUAGAGAUGGGGUUUCAUCAUGUUGGUCAGGCUGGUCUUGAACUCCAGACCUCAGGUGAUCGGACUGCCUCGGCCUCCCAAAGUGCUGGGAUUACAGGCAUGACCCACUGUGCCCGGACCUGCUUGAAUUUUUAUGAUGAGCAUGUUGGCAGAUCACGACUGCCAGCUCCGUGACAGCAAGAACCUUGUAUGACUUUUUCAUGAUGGAUGUUCAUCUGUGCCAUCUGUAAAUAUUGAAUAAAUAUUUGUGGAAUACAUGAAUCUAAAAGUGAAUGGAAUGAUAAAGAGGGAAAGGGUCAUGACAUCUACUACAGCAUUUGGCACAGACCCAGCUGUCUGCAGUACUAUCAAGAGAUGACAUGGACUUCAAGGAUCAAACAGGGGAGAAAAAGGCUUAAAAGAAAAACAAGUCUCCAUCAAAGGUAAUAACCACAAUGAGAACUAUACAUAGCUAUGUGCUUAUAGGUCUUAGUUCACAUUCCCCUCAUUAAAAUUAUAGCUCAAGAAAUAAAGGGCUGUUUAAUGACUUGGGUAUAUAAAUAUACUUCAUUUGUAUAUUUUUUACUUGCUAAAAUCUAUCCAAAUUGGUAUUACCUCAAACCAUAAUCUUCUACUGUAUUUUAUAAUUUUACUUUAUUGCCAUGUAUUUUUCCCACUGAUGUUCACAAAUUCACAGGAAACAUCAGCCAUGUACUAAAUAAAAUAUGAAUUGAAUCGACAAAUAGAACUAUAAAUUUAAUUCAAGCACAUGUAAAAUUUAGACCAAAGAAUAAAAAUGUCUAUUAAAAAUACAGCCAAGCAUGGUGGCUCACACCUGUAAUCCCAGCACUUUGGGAGGCCGAGGUGGGUGAAUCAUCUGAGGUCAAGAGUUUGAGACCAGCUGGCCAUUGUGGUGAAACCCCAUCUCUACUAAAAUACAAAAAUUAGCUGGGUGUGAUGGUGGGCACCUGUAAUCCCACUACUUGGGAGGCUGAGGCAGGAGAAUCGCUUGAACCCAGGA